UUGGAUCACCUCCUAACAGGGAGACAAAACAAUGAUUUUGAUGUCUGAGUAAUUUAUUCUUAGGCCGAAAUCCUGUCACUUUAGGUCGAUCGGUACCUCAACAUUUUUUCAAAGAUUGAUGAGCAAUCAUCGAGAGAUUGAAAGAGAUGUUCAGUUCCUAAACUUUGUCUAGGUCACACCCCGCAAGGGAAGAGUCCCCUGGGCCAUUAGCUCAGGUGGUUAGAGCGCACCCCUGAUAAGGGUGAGGUCCCUGGUUCAAGUCCAGGAUGGCCCAUUCGGUGUUGGGGGUUUAGCUCAGUUGGUAGAGCGCCUGCUUUGCAAGCAGGAUGUCAGGAGUUCGAGUCUCCUAACCUCCACUGACCGAACUCAAUCUCCAUUGUCCGGUAACUCGGAGGAUGAACUCGAGGGAAUGUGAUUUAGAUGUGUCCACUAGAUAGGACCCUAGCUUCCUGUCAAAGGAAACGAGUAAGCACUCGAUUCAUUGAUAAGAUGCUGGGCUCAAAUUAAUCGAAAGAUUAAUCUGAUGUCUAGUAGAACCUUGACAACUGCAUAGGUAAGUCUGGAAAAACAAAGCAUCUUACAGAUGCAUUGUUUUGAAUCUGAUCUUCUGAAAGGAAGAUGAGUUUUAGAACAAUGAAAAUUCUUUUGAGCAAGAGCCGAGACUCUUAGAUGUUCUUUGAUUCGUGUCGAGCGAAUCAGAGUUUGAUUUUGUUUUUAUGAGCAACGAAAGUUGCUGAUGAAACCAAAAGAAUCUGCUUUCAACCGCAGUAAGCGUUUAAGAGGUUAAUUGGUCAAGCUACAAAGGGCUCACGGCGGAUACCUUGGCACACAGAGGCGAUGAAGGA
RNAcentral lists this transfer RNA (845 nucleotides) under uncultured Synechococcus sp. RNAcentral describes it as "partial contains 16S ribosomal RNA, 16S-23S ribosomal RNA intergenic spacer, and 23S ribosomal RNA". The stretch from base 284 to 356 matches the Rfam family "tRNA". The record is from RNAcentral. Lineage: Bacteria; Bacillati; Cyanobacteriota; Cyanophyceae; Synechococcales; Synechococcaceae.